Molecule: long non-coding RNA, 930 nt
Organism: Glycine soja
Lineage: Eukaryota; Viridiplantae; Streptophyta; Magnoliopsida; Fabales; Fabaceae
Exons: 2
Source: RefSeq, a predicted model, not a curated record
AAAAAAAAAAAAAGCCUCCAAGAUAAGGCGAGGAAGGGUUGCCUACGUGGCAUCACAAAACCCAAUAAUUCUACUCAUGUAAGACCCCAACUCGAUUUUCAUCACACGUGGCACGUGUGAGGCUUCAGCUUUAUUUUGCGUCACUGUCGCGUUACGGCUAAGUGGAAUCGCCAUGGCUGCGUCUCUCUUCCUUCCCUCUUCUCCGUUCAAACUCAACCCUCCAACGCCCAACUCUGUUACCGUUACGCUCCGUUUCCCUCCCCUCAAUCGCCGUUAUAACGCCUUAUGAGUCGCUGCUUCCGUUUCCGUUUCCGUUUCCAGCCCCAACGUGCGAACCGGUCCUGAUGAAUGUCGAUCUUGUUGCUUCCAUUCUCUCUAAGGAAAACUCAAGGCUCUGGAUAGUGAAUGGAUUCAAGUUAUAUUUGAAGCGCCUGAAUUGAAGGUAGGAUCAUGGUAGGCACUGUAUGGUGGCCAGAGUGAAGUUAAACUCAGAAUCACUUAUGUUGAUGAGAAAUUCAGGUUAGGAUUGGGUUCCAGAGGUUCCCUGUUUGUUUUUCAAAGAAUAUGAAAUCAAAAUGUGAUAAGAAAAAAUUCCUUCAGGCCUUCAGUGAAAGUUCUGUCAAGUUUGUAUCUUGACACUGCACAAUUUCAUGUAUGAUAAUAUGAUUAAUAGUGUAUAUGAGUAUUUCAUGUAUGAUAAUAUGAUUAAUAGUGUAUAUGAGUAGGAGCUUGAAAAGACCACGUUACUCUUAAGCUGCAGAUUUUGUCUCAAAUGGACUAGUGUGUUAUAAGGUGCAAUGUACUGUAAUUAACUUGUUAGUGAGACAGUGAUACAAUCUUUCCAUUUCCAUAUUCCUGGAAGUUAACAUUUUUUGGUUGAUGUAAUUGAUCUAUCAUUUUCAUUUAUGACAGUGGCAAAAAGAUUUUUUA